Alosa sapidissima (American shad) is the source of this 1706-nucleotide long non-coding RNA. RefSeq lists it as uncharacterized. The transcript is spliced from 3 exons. Lineage: Eukaryota; Metazoa; Chordata; Actinopteri; Clupeiformes; Clupeidae. The record is from RefSeq and is a predicted model, not a curated record.
AAGCAGCCAUCAAGACAUGUGUGAUCAGGUCAGGAUCACGACUAAUUGCAAUCACCUGGGCGUGCGGGCUGGGGGUCAUGGGUACGUAACUUCCUUCCCGACAAACACAAAAGAAGCUCUCCCAAAUUGUUUGGUACGCAAGUUGCUUGUCGCUGGUCGGUACAAACCGCGCACUUCAUGCUGGGUUUUGGUUGCGAACAACUCCCUCGCUGUGGUCUGGGUAGGUGGAAUGUUUCAUGUACUCCUUACACUUUUAAUGUGAGUUGUUGCCACUGCUGUAGACCACGAACGUUUGUCUGACAUGUAGGUAAUAGCAUAAAGUGAGAGUUUGUGUUUAGCCACGUAGUUUGAACACGGGGCAGGUGGUUGUAGUGUCGUAACGUUUGGCUCAUCUUGCUAUAGACUGUCAUCUCCUCCCUACUCCUGUUUCCCUGUGACUACUCCCUCCUCUGCUCCUGUUGCCCUGGGCUAGCUCGCAUUGUGGAAAAGGCCGAGGUAGGCAUUGUUUAUUGUUCUAACAGUGCAACGGUCCUAUUUUAAAUAUGUAUCUGGUACAAUGUUUUCUUUUUUACAUGUCGUUUGACUUAUGAACAAUUAAACUUCAUAAAAACUGUUGUGUAUUGUUAUGAAAUGCGACAUAACCAUGGACCAGGGUGUUAAACGUUUCUCUCUGUUGUAGAUCACAGCUGGCUGUCUAUUACAGUUUGACCACUGUUUUCCCCCAUUAGAGUUUCUUUUGGUAUUAGUCAGUGUUAACCUAACAGCACGUCAAAGUUGGUUGUACAGUAUGCUUGUUUGUGUUGGUUUAUUUUCUUUGUGUUGUAUGCUUGUCUGAGUGUGAUACACUGGUGCAUUUACACUGUUUGCCAGGGUCUGUUACACGACCAGGUGUAGUGCUGUUGCCAUCCCUGAGCUCAUAUUAGCAGCUAGUUAGCGAUUUCAGACUGUUACUCCGAGGCUAUUGAGACUUAUUCUUCCCCCCGGCAGUAUUAGUUUUUAAUGGGUUCUUGUAACCCCUGACUUAGCUUAUCCACACGGGAGACUGUUACUCCUGGGGCAUAGGGGUCUAUCUAUGCCCCAGGUGGUAUUAGUUCAUAUUGAGUUCUUUGUGACUCCCAACCUAGUUUCUCCACACAGUAGACUGUUACUCUUGGGCCAUAGGGGUCUAUGUCCCAGGUAGUAUUAGUUCAUUAUAGCUUCUGCUAUUCAUUGUAGCUGUAUCGGUAGCACUCCACUGGCGCUGAAUAGCGUGGUUGUCUUGUUUUUGUUUUGUCUUGUAUUGUUUCCUUUAUUGAAUGCCCCUCCUUCCCCCUGUUUGCUAGUAUGGCCUGCUAGGUCUAUUAGGUCACACAGUUAAGGUACUCUAGGACUGCCGCCUUCCCCUAGUUUGCGGUGAGGGCACAUUCUAGUGGUUGAGCGUGUACUGAACACCUAUUUAUACUCGUGUGGGUUGUAUUUAGAAAGCUUGAGUGUUACACUUGUGUUUGUGUGUGUGUAUGGCCAUAGAUCACUUUUGGGGCUGGGCAGCCGUCCGAGGGUUACUGUACCUGUGUUAAUUCAGGCCGUGUAGCAGCCACCAAUCCACUGGGCAUUUCAUUUAUGAUUAUGUGUAUUACAUUUUGUUUUCUUUGAUUAUUUCGUAUUGUGUAUUCUGAUUUUGUUUUUAUCGGAUUUACCUACUGUACACCCCUGCCAUCCAUUUUAAA